AACUUCUGAAUGUUGACCUCGGAUCAGGUAGGAAUACCCGCUGAACUUAAGCAUAUCAAUAAGCGGAGGAAAAGAAACCAACAGGGAUUGCCCUAGUAACGGCGAGUGAAGCGGCAACAGCUCAAAUUUGAAAUCUGGCUUUCGGGCCCGAGUUGUAAUUUGUAGAGGAUACUUUUGAUGCGGUGCCUUCCGAGUUCCCUGGAACGGGACGCCAUAGAGGGUGAGAGCCCCGUCUGGUUGGAUGCCAAAUCUCUGUAAAGUUCCUUCGACGAGUCGAGUAGUUUGGGAAUGCUGCUCUAAAUGGGAGGUAUAUGUCUUCUAAAGCUAAAUAUUGGCCAGAGACCGAUAGCGCACAAGUAGAGUGAUCGAAAGAUGAAAAGCACUUUGAAAAGAGAGUUAAAAAGUACGUGAAAUUGUUGAAAGGGAAGCGUUUAUGACCAGACUUGGACUUGGUUAAUCAUCUGGGGUUCUCCCCAGUGCACUUUUCCAG
This 490-nucleotide ribosomal RNA is filed under the name Fusarium sp. HMA-17. Its description in RNAcentral is "eukaryotic LSU rRNA". It matches the Rfam family "Eukaryotic large subunit ribosomal RNA", at positions 1 to 488 of the family's 3401-position model. Lineage: Eukaryota; Fungi; Ascomycota; Sordariomycetes; Hypocreales; Nectriaceae. The record is from RNAcentral.